CAACAGAAAUUUAUUGUCUUGUUAUAGGGUCUGGAAUUCCCAACUCCUAAGGUAUUGGUAGACUAUCUUCUCUCUGUAAUCUGUAGUGGAAUCCUUUCUUUCCUGUUCUUACCUUCUGGUGGUUUUCUGACAAUCUUUGGUGUUCUUGACUUGUAGAUGCAUCAUUCCAGUUCUCCAUCUUCCCAUGGCAUCCUUCCCACACCUCUAUCUUUUCACAUAGUCUUCUUUCUUUCUUUCUUUUUUAAGAUCUCUAGUGAUGUGGAAUUGGGCCCACACUACUCCAUUAUGACCUCAUCUUAACUUAUUACAUCUGUAAUGAUCCUGUUAAAGAAAGUGUGUAACAUUGUGAAGGAGUUAGGAUUUCAGCAUAUGAAUUUUGAGGGGGACACAGUUCAACAAUCUUCUGUUCAGGAUAACAACAGAUCCCUUUGAUAACUAAGCCAGAUUGUUCAUGUUCUUUGAACUUGGCUGAAAAAAAAUGUUUAUAUUUCAACCUGCUGAGCUGCUCACAUUUAAAAGAGAAUAAGUGGCUUCUUCAAAUCAACACACCUGGGGCAGCGGAGACUUGCCUCACAAACAAUGGCUGAGAGAGACACCUGGCUGCGGGAGCAUCAAGUAGCUGCAUUGUUAAGCCUGCUGAAUUGUGGAGAAUGCGCGUUCAGCAAAUCACAGUUCCUAAAAAGUUAAUGUUCUCUCUGUACUUUUGCUCACCAGUACAUAGAACUCUAAAAUGGCUGCUCCAUGGGCCCCUAAAGGGCAUAGCUUCCAAGUGGCUAUACCAGUUGACAUUCCUACCAACAACACAUAAGGAUUUCUUUUUCUCCACAUCCUAUGGAUAAUUGCCAGUGACAGAAAUGACAGUCAACUAGCUUAAGAAAAACAAAACUUCAUGUACCUGGAAAGCACAGGAAUGAACUCUAGUCAUGUCUGGAAUUGAGACUCAAAUGACAUCAGCAGAAGUUUGUCUUGAGCUAUCACUUUGCUCUGAUUUUAUUUUAUUUUUGGACUAUCUUCAUUCUGGUGUUUCCUAUAUGGUGGCAAAGGUGGCCAUCAUCAACUCUAAGUUUAUAUCAUUCUUACAUCUGGGGGUUUAAGGCAAAAGAAAGUGUAUUUUUCUAAAUCCUCUAUGCAAAAUUCUGAGGGAUGACCCUUCUUGGUCCAGACUGAGUCACACAUCUAUUCCAGACUUAAUCACAGUGACCGAUGGAAUAAAGUACUUGG
This 1221-nucleotide long non-coding RNA is filed under the name Mustela putorius furo (domestic ferret). RNAcentral's name for it is "lncRNA (ENSMPUG00000025400.1)". Lineage: Eukaryota; Metazoa; Chordata; Mammalia; Carnivora; Mustelidae. The record is from RNAcentral.